RNAcentral lists this transfer RNA (87 nucleotides) under Coprinellus micaceus. RNAcentral describes it as "tRNA-Pro". It matches the Rfam family "tRNA". Rfam says of the family: Transfer RNA (tRNA) molecules are approximately 80 nucleotides in length. Their secondary structure includes four short double-helical elements and three loops (D, anti-codon, and T loops). Further hydrogen bonds mediate the characteristic L-shaped molecular structure. tRNAs have two regions of fundamental functional importance: the anti-codon, which is responsible for specific mRNA codon recognition, and the 3' end, to which the tRNAs corresponding amino acid is attached (by aminoacyl-tRNA synthetases). tRNAs cope with the degeneracy of the genetic code in two manners: having more than one tRNA (with a specific anti-codon) for a particular amino acid; and 'wobble' base-pairing, i.e. permitting non-standard base-pairing at the 3rd anti-codon position. The record is from RNAcentral. Lineage: Eukaryota; Fungi; Basidiomycota; Agaricomycetes; Agaricales; Psathyrellaceae.
GGCCUGAUGGUCUAGUAGUAUGAUUCCUUGUUAGGGCGCCCAUUCGCAAUUUCGAGGAGGUCCCGGGUUCAAUUCCCGGUCAGGCCC